Molecule: ribosomal RNA, 492 nt
Filed under: uncultured bacterium
Lineage: Bacteria
Description: partial 16S ribosomal RNA
Rfam family: Bacterial small subunit ribosomal RNA
Source: RNAcentral
AGUGAACGCUGGCGGUAGGCCUAACACAUGCAAGUCGAACGGCAGCACAGUAAGAGCUUGCUCUUACGGGUGGCGAGUGGCGGACGGGUGAGGAAUACAUCGGAAUCUACUUUUUCGUGGGGGAUAACGUAGGGAAACUUACGCUAAUACCGCAUUCGACCUACGGGUGAAAGCAGGGGAUCUUCGGACCUUGCGCGAUUGAAUGAGCCGAUGUCGGAUUAGCUAGUUGGCGGGGUAAAGGCCCACCAAGGCGACGAUCCGUAGCUGGUCUGAGAGGAUGAUCAGCCACAAUGGAACUGAGACACGUUCCAGACUCCUACGGGAGGCAGCAGUGGGGAAUAUUGGACAAUGGGCGCAAGCCUGAUCCAGCCAUACCGCGUGGGUGAAGAAGGCCUUCGGGUUGUAAAGCCCUUUUGUUGGGAAAGAAAAGCAGCAGGUUAAUACCCCGCUGUUCUGACGGUACCCAAAGAAUAAGCACCGGCUAACUUCGUG